Molecule: ribosomal RNA, 468 nt
Filed under: uncultured bacterium
Lineage: Bacteria
Description: partial 16S ribosomal RNA
Rfam family: Bacterial small subunit ribosomal RNA
Source: RNAcentral
GACGAACGCUGGCGGCGUGCUUAACACAUGCAAGUCGAACGGAAAGGCCCUGCUUUUGUGGGGUGCUCGUGUGGCGAACGGGUGAGUGACACGUGAGGAACCUGCCCUUGUCUUUGGGAUAAAUUCAGGAAACUGGGGCUAAUACCGGAUAUGAGAUACUGAUGCGUGGUGGUCGUUGGUGAGUGUCGGCCGUUGGGGCUGGACUGGAGGCUUAUCCGCUUGUUGGUGAGGUUGUGGCUUUCCAAGGCUUUGACGGGUAGGCCGCCUGAGAGGGUGAACGGCGACAUUGCUACUGAGGUACGCCGCAGACUCCUAUGGGAGGCAGUAGUGGGGAACAUUGCAGAGUGGCCGGAAGCGUGAGACAGCAGCGCCGCGUGCGUGAAGCCGGCCUACGAGUGGAAAACAACUUUGUACGGUAACGAGGCGGUAGUGACGGUACCGGGUCAAGAAGCCCCGGCUAACUACGUG